Molecule: ribosomal RNA, 400 nt
Filed under: Cuspidothrix issatschenkoi UADFA1
Lineage: Bacteria; Bacillati; Cyanobacteriota; Cyanophyceae; Nostocales; Aphanizomenonaceae
Description: bacterial SSU rRNA
Rfam family: Bacterial small subunit ribosomal RNA
Source: RNAcentral
GGGGAAUUUUCCGCAAUGGGCGAAAGCCUGACGGAGCAAUACCGCGUGAGGGAGGAAGGCUCUUGGGUUGUAAACCUCUUUUCUCAGGGAAGAAGAAAAUGACGGUACCUGAGGAAUAAGCAUCGGCUAACUCCGUGCCAGCAGCCGCGGUAAUACGGAGGAUGCAAGCGUUAUCCGGAAUGAUUGGGCGUAAAGGGUCCGCAGGUGGUAGUGUAAGUCUGCUGUUAAAGAGUCACGCUCAACGUGAUCAAAGCAGUGGAAACUACACAACUAGAGUACGGUAGGGGCAGAAGGAAUUCCUGGUGUAGCGGUGAAAUGCGUAGAUAUCAGGAAGAACACCGGUGGCGAAAGCGUUCUGCUAGACCUGUACUGACACUGAGGGACGAAAGCUAGGGGAGCG